This 376-nucleotide ribosomal RNA is filed under the name uncultured bacterium. RNAcentral describes it as "bacterial SSU rRNA". It matches the Rfam family "Bacterial small subunit ribosomal RNA", at positions 524 to 898 of the family's 1533-position model. The record is from RNAcentral.
UACGAAGGGUGCAAGCGUUGUUCGGAUUUAUUGGGCGUAAAGCGCACGUAGGCGGGUAAGUAAGUCAGGUGUGAAAUCUCGGGGCUCAACCCCGAAACAGCGCCUGAAACUGUUUAUCUAGAAUCUUAGAGGGGGAAGGGGAAUUUCGCAUGUAGGGGUAAAAUCCGUAGAUAUGCGAAGGAACACCGGAGGCGAGAGCGCCUUCCUGGAUAAGUAUUGACGCUAAGGUGCGAAAGCGUGGGGAGCAAACAGGAUUAGAUACCCUGGUAGUCCACGCUGUAAACGAUGAACACUAGAUAUUGCAGGAAUUGACCCCUGCAGUGUCGUAGCUAACGCGUUAAGUGUUCCGCCUGGGGAGUACGGUCGCAAGACUAAA